UGGGACGUGGUGUACGGCGCACCGCUGCCUUCGAUGUACCAUAGGAACAUUGAACAGCAGCAAGCCGGGGUUCGACUCCCCGCGUCCCAC
Molecule: non-coding RNA, 90 nt
Organism: Mycena epipterygia
Lineage: Eukaryota; Fungi; Basidiomycota; Agaricomycetes; Agaricales; Mycenaceae
Source: the annotation of a GenBank genome assembly